GAGUGUGGCUCCAUGGUAGACUGUUUGCUUAGCAUGCAUGAGGCACUGGGUUCAAUCCCCAGCAACACA
Molecule: transfer RNA, 69 nt
Filed under: Marmota monax (woodchuck)
Lineage: Eukaryota; Metazoa; Chordata; Mammalia; Rodentia; Sciuridae
Description: tRNA.Ala
Source: RNAcentral